UUUCAUACUGCUGUUGAUGAUGUGAAUUUUGGGAAUAUUCUUCCCUAUUGGGUCUUUCUCCAUGACAGAUGAUGUCCUUUAGCUUCGGUUUUCCAUCUAAGAACUGUUAAGUGGUGCUUGCUAGCUCUACUAAGAAUCCUUCCAUUGUUGCAAAUUUCAGAAAAAAGGCUGGAGUGCAGUGAUGCGCAUACCUCACACUGUGACACAGCGGGAGAGCCCAGAGCGACAGCUGUUGGAAUGACUGCACUCUUCCUGCUCAAGUCUGACCUUUCCAAGCCUUUGUCCUAUGUCUGGAGACUUCUUGGAAGCUGGAGCACACAAACAGCUACAGCAAACUUGAGGAAUGGGCAUGAAUAGACUGGCUUCGGGGAACUUGCCAGCUUGGCCAUGUGGCCAAGGUAAUAGGCAAGCCAAGGCAGAGCUAGAGCUCAGAGCUGGAGGGGAAAUUAAAGCAGCAAAUGUAGAAACAUUAAGCCUGAAGAGGUGACAACGUUGAAUUCUAAAAUGCAGACCAAAGCUCAGACUGCAAGCUGUCUGGCUGCUCCGGGUGUGCCCAGAAGUCAAAGUCCAGCAGGGGCAAAGGUGGAGGUGUGGUCCUGCAUAUGGGGUGUUGGAGGGAUGUGGAAGAGGAGGUGCUUUAAGAUCCAGAGAUCCCAGCUGCCCUGGUGCACCCUUGGAAGAAUAAAAGGCUAGGAACUGGACAAGUCAGGCUCAAGUCCAAGCUGCCUAAGGAAUCAGGGAAAGAAUGGAGCUCAGAGUGGGAGGUCAGGGCAGUAUCUAAAAAUCCAUUAUAGGAGCAAAGCUGGCGGUGGCCCCUGACUCUGGUAAAGGCAGCCUGCAGCAUCAUGCCACGGGGGGGCCUGACUGAUCACGCCUUGCAUUUGCAAACAAGGAUUAGUAGGGUAUGAGUAGGAUUCUGCUGGUGCCCGAGAAGGCAAUGCCAUCUACAUCUUUACAAAGUUUUAACAAAGGCCUGGAGGACACAACCUUCCUCAAAGUCCUGAUGUCGCUGUUUGCUGGCAACAAUUAGAGCCAAAAGAAGAGAGGCACAGAAUGUGCCAGGGGUGUGCUGCGUACAGUCCCGAUGACCACAAGGCCUUCUUGGGUCAAGUUCUGCCAUCUCUGGUUAAGAUGGGCUCACCCUCUAGCACCUUGAUUGAGUCCUCGGACCACCAAGAGUGCCCCACCAAGAGCCUCCCUCUUCUGGUGACUCAUGCCUGCUUCCCGUGGAGAGCUCCAGAAGGGAGGAAACUGUGAAGAGGUGGAGAACGUGGCAGGGAUCCUAACUUUCUUACUGAAGGAAGUUCUUAACAAGUACCCAUCUGCCUUCAGGGAAGAAAACAUAACUCAUUUUGGUCUUUCAAAUUCAGUUCUCAAAACCAAAUCCUGUUGUCAGCAAUCUGUGUCCCAACGCCUUCUUCAGCAACAGCAUUUUCCCUGUGGAAUUAGUUUCCAAUGUUCUUUCUUAAAUAAACCACUGAAGAUUGAAAGGAAUCCAGAUACCCACCACAUUUUGUUUCCUUAAUGAGUAAUUAUCACAUUUCUUUGGCUAUUUAAAUGCAUUCUCUGAGUCAGGUAAAGGAGAUCAUAAUAGUUAAUCAACAACAAGUAAUUCUUGGGUACUUAACAAUAGUCUAAGCACUUAAUCAUACUUAAAAUUGACUAUUAAUGAACCUUAUAAACCAUUUUGCAAUUCUGAAAGUGAAUUUCUCUGCAGGCUUAGAGAUUACUAAGCCAUUUAGAUCUUACCAAACAAAUAUUAUUCAUGCUUUAAUUCCUGGGAAAAGAGAUUUAGAAAAUGAGGUUAAUGUUCAGUUGUCCUUUCCUGAGUUUAACAAUUAUAUAUUCCAUCUGGGAUGCUCUGAACUCAGGUUAAACAUUCUUCAAGUUAUCCCCACAUUUUUCAAGUUAUUCCCACGUUAGUGACCUACUUUAUUAUUAUUAUUACUAAAGAAAAAGGCUGGGUGUGGUGGCCCACAUCUGUAAUCCCAGUGCUUUGGGAGGCUGAAGCAGGAGGAUCACUUGAGCUUGGGAGUUCAAGACCAGCCUGAGAGGGAGACUCUGUCUCUAC
This 2071-nucleotide long non-coding RNA is filed under the name Pongo abelii (Sumatran orangutan). RNAcentral describes it as "lincRNA". Lineage: Eukaryota; Metazoa; Chordata; Mammalia; Primates; Hominidae. The record is from RNAcentral.